This 451-nucleotide ribosomal RNA is filed under the name uncultured bacterium. RNAcentral's name for it is "partial 16S ribosomal RNA". It matches the Rfam family "Bacterial small subunit ribosomal RNA", at positions 29 to 523 of the family's 1533-position model. The record is from RNAcentral.
AGCGAACGCUGGCGGCAGGCCUAACACAUGCAAGUCGAGCGGCCGUAGCAAUACGGCAGCGGCAGACGGGAUAGUAACACGUGGGAACGCGCCCUUCGGUUCGGAAUAACUCAGGGAAACUUGAGCUAAUACCGGAUACGCCCUUACGGGGAAGGAUUUAUUGCCGAAGGAACGGCCCGCGUCGGAUUAGCUAGUUGGUGAGGUAAUGGCUCACCAAGGCGACGAUCCGUAGCUGGUCUGAGAGGAUGACCAGCAUCACUGGGACUGAGACACGGCCCAGACUCCUACGGGAGGCAGCAGUGGGGAGUAUUGGACAAUGGGCGCAAGCCUGAUCCAGCCAUGCCGCGUGGAUGAUGAAGGCCCUAGGGUUGUAAAGUCCUUUUAACGGGGAAGAUAAUGACGGUACCCGUAGAAUAAGCCCCGGCUAACUUCGUGCCAGCCGCCGCGGUAA